CCCGCUGAACUUAAGCAUAUCAUUAAGCGGAGGAAAAGAAACUAACUAGGAUUCCCUUAGUAAAGGCGAUUGAAGAGGGAAUAGCUCAAACUGAAAAUCAGUAAUUUAUUACUGAAUUGUAGUCUCGUGAAGUAUUACCAGUGGAAUGUAUGGAUAAGUUUCUUGGAAUGGAACAUCAAAGAGGGUGACAAUCCCGUCUUUGCCAUACUAAUUUCUGCAUACGGUAUACUUUCUUAGAGUCGUGCUCCUUGAGACUGGACCACAAAAUGGGUGAUAUACUUCAUCUAAAGCUAAAUAUUGGCAAGGAACCGAUAGCGGACAAGUACCGUGAGGGAAAGAUGAAAAGGACUUUGAAAAGAGAGUUAAAAGUAUCUGAAAUCGCUAAGGGGGAAGCGCUUGUAAACUACGCCGUUUAGGUGCGAUUGAUGUGUUAUGGGGGUCGUGAUUACAGUGCCGAAAGGGCUGUAGUUGCAUCCGAAGUAUCGCAUGAACCGCAACCUGAUCAGGGUCGGUAUCAAUAAGGGAUGUACUAAUGAUUCAGGUUACAUCAGAUUCAGCUUCUGUUGGGUUUGACUAAUCCGAGUAUAGCAGUAGUUCCUUAUUGACUAUCUUCAAUGAUGGCUGCACUCUCUGAGUACCGUCAUUGUGAGUUGCCGAUUUGUAGGGUAUAAGCGGCCCGUCUUGAAACACGG
This 692-nucleotide ribosomal RNA is filed under the name uncultured fungus. RNAcentral describes it as "eukaryotic LSU rRNA". It matches the Rfam family "Eukaryotic large subunit ribosomal RNA", at positions 24 to 664 of the family's 3401-position model. Lineage: Eukaryota; Fungi. The record is from RNAcentral.